GGGUGUGGCUCAGUGGCAGAGCACCUGCUUGGCAUGCAGAAGGUCCUAUAUUCAAUCACUGGCAUCUCCU
Molecule: non-coding RNA, 70 nt
Organism: Podarcis lilfordi (Lilford's wall lizard)
Lineage: Eukaryota; Metazoa; Chordata; Lepidosauria; Squamata; Lacertidae
Source: the annotation of a GenBank genome assembly